This 261-nucleotide ribosomal RNA is filed under the name uncultured archaeon. Its description in RNAcentral is "partial 16S ribosomal RNA". It matches the Rfam family "Archaeal small subunit ribosomal RNA", at positions 748 to 1008 of the family's 1478-position model. The record is from RNAcentral.
AGGGUGUAAACGCUGCAGACUUGGUGUUGGAAGCCCUUUGGGGGCAUUCAGUGCCGGAGAGAAGUUGUUAAGUCUGCUACUUGGGGAGUACGUCCGCAAGGAUGAAACCUAAAGGAAUUGGCGGGGGAGCACCGCAACGGGAGGAGCGUGCGGUUUAAUUGGAUUCAACACCGUAAAACUCACCAGGGAAGACUGUUACAUGAAGGCCGAGAUGAAGACUCUGCUAGAUUUUCAGAGAGGAGGUGCAUGGCGUCAGUGACU